ACAGAACUCAAAGCAGGCAGUGUGGUGGAUGUUAGGCAGCUGCAGGCACAAAACUGCAUUGGCUUCCCCACUGCAAAGCCCAGCCUCCAGGCAGUGAUGCAGCAGAGGUGAUGUAUAUGUGAUGGCAUCCUCGCAAGGCCCCUGCUGAAAUCAAGAUGGUCUUUGGUACGGGAGUUUUGCAGUUCUCUCUCUCCAAGGGCAGUCCUCAAAACACAGAAAAUGGACCAAUACUACAGCUGCAACUAGAGGAGACUAUGACACCUACUCUCUUCCCUGAAGUGUCUGACCUUCACAAGCCAGAACACAAAGCCCAUCAGUCUGACACCAGCUGAAGGUGGCUUCAGGUAUGGCUUCAGAAUUUUGGCUCUGGAUGCAUUUUAACAUCAGUCUGGAAGGACCAGAGGAUACAAGGGUUUAGGUAUAAAAUUCCUUUUUUUUAAAAAAAAAAAAAAAAGUAUUGGUAGGUAAUUUUUUUUUUUUUUUGUCUCUUGUCACACUGCAAAUGGGGGUGUACAUGUAGAAAAAAAACCAAACAAACCACAAAACAACAGCAACAAAACAACAACAAAAACCUGUAAGGAAUCUUCAUUUGCAGCAGUUUUACUUUUGAUAAGUACAGCUAACACUAAUCCAAUGAGGAAGGUGUCAUUGCCUUCUAAUUAACUGGAGGGUGAGGGCAAGGGAGAAUUACAUUAAUGUGGAAGCAGCCUGCAAAGUUGCUGCAUGCUACAAUAAAAUAUUUUGCACUAGAAUUUUCUGAGAGGCU
Molecule: long non-coding RNA, 766 nt
Filed under: Anas platyrhynchos platyrhynchos (common mallard)
Lineage: Eukaryota; Metazoa; Chordata; Aves; Anseriformes; Anatidae
Description: lncRNA (ENSAPLG00000020500.1)
Source: RNAcentral